Molecule: ribosomal RNA, 207 nt
Filed under: uncultured bacterium
Lineage: Bacteria
Description: partial 16S ribosomal RNA
Rfam family: Bacterial small subunit ribosomal RNA
Source: RNAcentral
CGCGUAGGCGGUGCGGUAAGUCACCUGUGAAAUCUCUGGGCUUAACUCAGAGCUUGCAGGCGAAACUGCCGUGCUGGAGUGUGGGAGAGGUGCGUGGAAUUCCCGGUGUAGCGGUGAAAUGUGUAGAUAUCGGGAGGAACACCUGUGGCGAAAGCGGCGCACUGGACCACAACUGACGCUGAGGCGCGAAAGCUAGGGGAGCAAACA